This is a long non-coding RNA of Parus major (Great Tit), 3304 nucleotides long. RefSeq lists it as uncharacterized. Lineage: Eukaryota; Metazoa; Chordata; Aves; Passeriformes; Paridae. The record is from RefSeq and is a predicted model, not a curated record. The transcript has 4 exons.
CUGCUCAGAUGACGAUGCUUAGUAGAUCAUGUUCCUGCUAUUUUAGUUACUAGUUUCACUUUUUCUCUCUUCAGUAUAUUCACAAGCAUGAAGUUGCACAGUUACUAAAAAGAGCAGAGGAGAGGGGUUUUUGAUAGUAAAAAUAGAAUGAGAUUUUAGUCUUAAACAUGGAUUAGUGUCAAAACUCCUGAUCUAUACUGGAGGGAGGUUCAUAUGUCAAGGGAAGAUCUUGAUCUUAAUUCUCUGCAUGGAAAUCUGAAGUAGCUACCCACCGUGUCAAAUGUUUUGUUGGAAACCUCAUUGAGAGCAUAGGGCAUAAGAAGAUGGGCUUCUGCAAUUGUUCUAUGCCAGGAAAGGGGAGUGAUUCCAUCCAAUUCAAUCUCUGAAUGCUUUGCCUCAGCCCCAUAGGACAAAGGAAGACAUUCCCUACUGAGGCCUGGAGUUUGCUGGUGUGGGACUGUCAAUGCAGUACUAUAGAAAUAAUUGGUGUUUGUGUGUGCUCCCAGUUGGGAUUGGAGUGUUUAGGUGCAGCUCUCUGCAUGGGUCCCCGUUUAGCCACACCAUGAGCACACACCAGCACAAUCUGCCCAGGAGCUGGGUGUUUUGGAUGGAUGAAGAGAUGUCAGGUUUAUUCAUUCAGGAAAAGGCACAAAUCUUCAUUGCAAAGGAUUGUGAAGGACUCUGACAACUGACAGCAGCAAAUUGACUUGGUUGCUUGGUGCCACGUGUAAAUGAGGGGCUUUUGUUUGCACAAGGGCAGCUCUGCUUAUAUCAUGUUCUCCUUCAAGAGAUUAAUUCUUCCUAGACUUAAUGUUAGCACAGUGAGUCCAGAGAUAUUACUCAUCAAUUAAAAAUUCAAUAAAAAUAAGCUGUCAUUACCAUAAUCCUUCAGACUGGGAAACAUGAGGUCGAGAGUUGUACCAUCCUGGCCUGUGACAAAAGCCCCAAAGACUGCCAGCUGUGGUGUUAAUUGAUUGGUGUCAUUUAUAAGUAAUCUAAAAAUCCUGAAUAAUUUAUUUUGCAGUGGCAUGUGCUGAAAAUAUAGAACUGCACAGAUAUUUGCACAGCUUCAGAAGAAAUAGUGCUAAACAGGGUGUAAAGGCAAAGAUUAAGAUUCAGUGAUCUCCUUAGGAGCACUUUAUCAUAUGCUCUGCUCUCCAGUGCUUUUUUUGACAGCAGAAGUAUAUAGAUCUGACAAUAGGAAUGUAUAGACCUGGGUGGUCAACACAUACAGGCUCAAUAUUCUCUUUCACAGCAGACUAAUGAGCUUUAAAAGCGAGGAAGGUAGAAGCCAAGCAGGAAAUACGCAGUGCUGAGGACAGCCCUGCCGAACCACAAUAAAAAAUUGACUGCUGUGUUUCCACAACAAGGAUGCUGAUGAUGGGAAAAGUCUAAUGAUUUAAUCUCUUGCCUGCCAAAAUGGGAUAAAAAUUCUUGCCGUUGACUGAGCAGGUUUUCCAGGGGUCACCUCACGGGGAGUGACUCUCCUCAACCCACACUGUUUUUACAACUGCAUGAAAAACCUCAGCUGACACACUUUGAAAUCAAGAGGAACCACCCCAGAGAGCCCAAAGGACUGAAGAGGCUGGCAGCCAAAGCCAAAUUUCUUCCCUUAUGGAUGCACAACUGAAAAGUUCCUGUGAGCUCUUACUUGCUCAGACAAAGCUGCGCCUAAAGUCAAAGGCUGACAACCUGGGUCUGUUUCGAGUCCACAUCACCCCUCUCCCAGGAUGAAUCCCACCCCCACAGGCCAAACCCUGCUCCUUUUCAUUUCUCUCUUAGGCUUGUCCCUAAAUUCCAUUUUGCUUGAAUGAUUAACUGCAUUUCUGGGAGUUGCUUUGAAAAACUGUGUAUAUACACUGUAACUGAACCCUAAUCCCACGCAUGUUUGCAAAAGAACGUGGAACUCAACCCCAAAACACUCAUGAUGAAGGGAUGGGGUCCUUACAACAUCAUUUCUGUGCUGUUGUAUCAAAUUUUUAAAGUAGAAAAUUGUAUUCUUGAAACCAGAUUCAUGUGGCUAGCUUAAAACUGCAUUCGUACAAAACAUUUGUAUUUUAACAAGUGUGGCAGGGUGGGGGAUUUCUUUCUGAACGUAAGCUUUUGAAGUGAAGUGAUCAUGCAGAAAUCCUAACUUUAAUUUCACAAAGUUUUUGGUUCUUCAAUCUGGUCUUGGAAAGGAGCCUAAAAAUUCAACCAAAUAUAGCUAAAUGCCUCAGAAACUAGAAUGACAGGGAAAAAGGCAUACAAACUUUUAUUUUAAAACUCUUUUUUUUCCCCCUUCCUCCUGACUUUGACCCUGUUUUGGGACCCAGAGGGUGAACCUACUAACCCUGAGUACGAUGAGCUCUGCUAUCUCCAUGGGACUUUUCCAUCUGCGUUGCAUUUUGAGAGCUAUGCUUGUUUGAGGGGAGUGCCAACUGCAGGCAGCAAAUCCCAUCUCUCUCCAGAGGAGUCAACAGAGAGCUCUCCCUGACUUCAGUCAAUGCUGGAUAGCAUCCAAAGAGAGUGAGGGCAGCAGGGAAUAAACUUGUUAUCAUUAUUCAUGUUGGUUGUGUAAACAGCGCUCACUUGUGACUGAGAAAUAUGUGACUUUUUCCUAUCAUUUUAAGAAAAAAAAAAACAUUUACCAAGAAAAUAAUCAUUACUGCAGACUGCUCAUUUUUCCCAUUGCUCUGCAUGUAAGAGCACGCAUUGGUACAAAUACAACUGAUCUGGUUAAGUGUUUUAAUACACCGGGGAGUAAAUUGUUUGGGAUGAAAGAAAUUCAUUAUCCCCAGUUUGCAGGGCUGAAAGUCUGGCUGUUUUUAUGUUACUGCUGAGUAAAAAAUUUGAAAUUGCAUGCUGUGGCAAGCUGAAUAUGUCUUUAGAUUCUAGUCUAGUACACUAAGCAUAUUAAUUAGAUUACUGUUCAUUCUUUCAGUAGUGCUGAAUCCCCAACAUGGCUAGUAGGAUAACUAAAGGUAAUCAGCCAAAGAAGAGCCAAUUUUCCCUAGAUUAUUCUUCCAUUAAUUUAAUUCACAAGGGGAAAAAUUCGUGGUUUCCUCCUAGGAUAGGAAUGGGCAAAACAUAAGUGGUAAAGACAGAAUAUCUCAAGAGGUCACAGAUGAACCCAAGAGCUAAUGUAUUUGCAGGAGGCAGGGGAGUGUCUCAGGCUGUGGACUGCAGCAGUGUGUGUGCUCCCACUCCAGGCAAUGCAGGUUAGACCCUCUCCUCCCCCUGCAAACUGAGGGCUCCUGUGCACAGCAAACAAGUGUUUGGACAAGAGAUUCUGUGAUAAAAUUAAAGAACCUCCUCAACUAGG